This 676-nucleotide ribosomal RNA is filed under the name uncultured archaeon. Its description in RNAcentral is "bacterial SSU rRNA". It matches the Rfam family "Archaeal small subunit ribosomal RNA", at positions 200 to 879 of the family's 1478-position model. The record is from RNAcentral.
CGGCACAGGAUGGGUCUGCGGCGUAUCAGGUAGUAGGGGGUGUAACGUACCUCCUAGCCUUCGACGCGUACGGGUUGUGAGAGCAAUUGCCCGGAGAUGGAUUCUGAGACACGAAUCCAGGCCCUACGGGGCGCAGCAGGCGCGAAAACUUGACAAUGCGAGAAAUCGUGAUCAGGGGACUCCAGUUGGCUGGAUUAAUAUCCAGUCUGAACCGACUUUAAAUCGGUCGGGUAAUAGGGGCGGGAAAGACCGGUGCCAGCCGCCGCGGUAAUACCGGCGCCCCAAGUGGUCGUCACUAUUAUUGGGCCUAAAACGUCCGUAGCCGGUUUGGUAAAUCCGUGGGUAAAUCAGACAGCCUAACUGUCUGAAUUCUGCGGGGACUGCCAGACUUGAGACCGGGAGAGGUACGGGGUACCUGCGGGGUAGCGGUAAAAUGCGAUCAUCCCGUAGGGACCACCUGUUGCGAAGGCGCCGUACUAGAACGGAUCUGACGGUCAGGGACGAAGCCUAGGGGCACGAACCGGAUUAGAUACCCGGGUAGUCCUAGGUGUAAACGCUGUGGACUUGGUGUCGGGGACUUUCAGAGAGUUUCCGGUGCCGGAGUGAAGAUGUUAAGUCCACUGCCUGGGGAGUACGGUCGCAAGGCUGAAACUUAAAGGAAUUGGCGGGGGAGCAC